GCCAGACACGGUGGCGCGUAUCUGUAGACCCAGCUACUCGGGAGGCUAAAGUGGGAGGAUCACUUGAGCCCAGGAGUUCUGGGCUGUAGUGCUCUAUGCCGAUCGGGUGUCCACACUAAGUUCGGCAUCAAUAUGGUGACCUCCCAGGAGCAGGGGACCACCACAUUGCCUAAGGAGGGGUGAACCGGCCCAGGUCAGAAACGGAGCAGGCCAAAACCCCCGUGCUGAUCAGUAGUGGGAUCGCACCUGUGAAUAGCCACUGCACUCCAGCCUGGGCAACAUAUCGAGACCCCAUCUCA
RNAcentral lists this signal recognition particle RNA (299 nucleotides) under Aotus nancymaae (Ma's night monkey). RNAcentral's name for it is "Metazoan signal recognition particle RNA (ENSANAG00000003967.1)". It matches the Rfam family "Metazoan signal recognition particle RNA". Rfam says of the family: The signal recognition particle (SRP) is a universally conserved ribonucleoprotein. It is involved in the co-translational targeting of proteins to membranes. The record is from RNAcentral. Lineage: Eukaryota; Metazoa; Chordata; Mammalia; Primates; Aotidae.